RNAcentral lists this long non-coding RNA (314 nucleotides) under Arabidopsis lyrata. RNAcentral's name for it is "long non-coding RNA (ALYR_LNC001016)". The record is from RNAcentral. Lineage: Eukaryota; Viridiplantae; Streptophyta; Magnoliopsida; Brassicales; Brassicaceae.
ACGAAGGGUAUAAAAAUGGGAGGUCGUAAUUUCUAUACAUAAGCCAACAAACCAUGUUAGAAUUCGAACUAUGGUGGCUAAUGCUACUCGAACCCAAGUGGCGAAGAUUUUUCUCUCCUUUACUAUUGGACUAAAGCGACUUGGUUUGCAAUUAUGACUAAACGUCAUGCACAAUUAGUGGUCGUAAAGUAGUCGUAACAUUGUCGCAAAAUUUAGUGACUAAUUGACGAUUAAGUAAUGAUUAAACCGCAUGAAUAACAUGUCGUCUAAGUAUAGUCCUAAAAUAGUCGUAAAAUGUUACCAACUAUUAUGCG